Molecule: ribosomal RNA, 500 nt
Filed under: uncultured bacterium
Lineage: Bacteria
Description: partial 16S ribosomal RNA
Rfam family: Bacterial small subunit ribosomal RNA
Source: RNAcentral
AUUGAACGCUGGCGGAAUGCUUUACACAUGCAAGUCGAACGGCAGCACGGACUUCGGUCUGGUGGCGAGUGGCGAACGGGUGAGUAAUGUAUCGGAACGUGCCCAGCCGUGGGGGAUAACGUAGUGAAAAUUACGCUAAUACCGCAUACGAUCUAUGGAUGAAAGCGGGGGAUCGCAAGACCUCGCGCGAUUGGAGCGGCCGAUAUCAGAGUAGGUAGUUGGUGGGGUAAAGGCCCACCAAGCCAACGAUCGGUAGCUGGUCUGAGAGGACGACCAGCCACACUGGAAGUGAGACACGGUCCAGACUCCUACGGGGGGCAGCAGUGGGGAAUUUUGGACAAUGGGCGCAAGCCUGAUCCAGCCAUUCCGCGUGCAGGAUGAGGGCCCUCGGGUUGUAAACUGCUUUUGUACAGAACGAAAAUGUUUCUACUAAUACUAGGAGCUCAUGACGGUACUGUACGAAUAAGCACCGGCUAACUACGUGCCAGCCGCCGCCGUAA